GACGAACGCUGGCGGCGUGCUUAACACAUGCAAGUCGAAAGGUGAAAGAGGAGCUUGCUCCUCUGGAUCAGUGGCGAACGGGUGAGUAACACGUGAGUAACCUGCCCCAGACUCUGGAAUAACGCCGGGAAACAGGAGCUAAUACCGCAUACGAGACACAGACGCAUCUCUACUGUCUGGAUAGUUUUUCGGUCUGGGAUGGACUCUCGGCCCAACAGCUUGUUGGUGAGGUAACGGCUCGCCAAGGCGACGACGGGUAGCCGGCCUGAGAGGGCAACCGGCCACACUGGGACUGAGACACGGGCCAGACUCCUACCGGAGGCAGCAGUGGGGAAUAUUGCACAAUGGGCGAAAGCCUGAUGCAGCGACGCCGCGUGAGGGAUGACGGCCUUCGGGUUGCAAACCUCUUUCAGUAGGGAAGAAGCGAAAGUGACGGUACCUACAGAAGAAGCACCGUCUAACUACGUGCCAGCCGCCGCAGUAA
Molecule: ribosomal RNA, 484 nt
Filed under: uncultured bacterium
Lineage: Bacteria
Description: partial 16S ribosomal RNA
Rfam family: Bacterial small subunit ribosomal RNA
Source: RNAcentral